RNAcentral lists this ribosomal RNA (442 nucleotides) under uncultured bacterium. RNAcentral's name for it is "bacterial SSU rRNA". It matches the Rfam family "Bacterial small subunit ribosomal RNA", at positions 28 to 450 of the family's 1533-position model. The record is from RNAcentral.
GAUGAACGCUGGCGGCGUGCUUAACACAUGCAAGUCGAACGAAGCACUCUAUUUGAUUUUCUUCGGAAAUGAAGAUUUUGUGACUGAGUGGCGGACGGGUGAGUAACGCGUGGGUAACCUGCCUCAUACAGGGGGAUAACAGUUGGAAACGACUGCUAAUACCGCAUAAGCGCACAGGGUCGCAUGGUCCGGUGUGAAAAACUCAGGUGGUAUGAGAUGGACCCGCGUCUGAUUAGCCAGUUGGCAGGGUAACGGCCUACCAAAGCGACGAUCAGUAGCCGACCUGAGAGGGUGACCGGCCACAUUGGGACUGAGACACGGCCCAAACUCCUACGGGAGGCAGCAGUGGGGAAUAUUGCACAAUGGGGGAAACCCUGAUGCAGCGACGCCGCGUGAGCGAAGAAGUAUUUCGGUAUGUAAAGCUCUAUCAGCAGGGAAGAAG